This 345-nucleotide ribosomal RNA is filed under the name uncultured bacterium. RNAcentral's name for it is "bacterial SSU rRNA". It matches the Rfam family "Bacterial small subunit ribosomal RNA", at positions 1 to 334 of the family's 1533-position model. The record is from RNAcentral.
CUAGCGACUCAGAGUUUGAUCCUGGCUCAGGAUGAACGCUAGCUACAGGCUUAACACAUGCAAGUCGAGGGGCAGCAGGAACUUAGCUUGCUAAGUUUGCUGGCGACCGGCGCACGGGUGAGUAACGCGUAUCCAACCUGCCCAUUACUUGGGGAUAGCCUUGCGAAAGUAAGAUUAAUACCCGAUGUUGUUAAAAGCCCGCAUGAGUUUUUAACCAAAGAUUUAUUGGUAAUGGAUGGGGAUGCGUGACAUUAGGUAGUUGGUGAGGUAACGGCUCACCAAGCCCACGAUGUCUAGGGGUUCUGAGAGGAAGGUCCCCCACACUGGAACUGAGACACGGUCCAG